GACGUAGGGCGCGAGCGUUGUCCGGAUUCAUUGGGCGUAAAGGGUGCGUAGGUGGCGCGGUAAGUCGGGUGUGAAAUCUCGGAGCUUAACUCCGAAAUUGCAUUCGAUACUGCCGUGCUCGAGGACUGGAGAGGAGACUGGAAUUCAUGGUGUAGCAGUGAAAUGCGUAGAGAUCAUGAGGAAGACCAGUGGCGAAGGCGGGUCUCUGGACAGUUCCUGACACUGAGGCACGAAGGCCAGGGGAGCAAACGGG
This 253-nucleotide ribosomal RNA is filed under the name uncultured bacterium. Its description in RNAcentral is "partial 16S ribosomal RNA". It matches the Rfam family "Bacterial small subunit ribosomal RNA", at positions 524 to 776 of the family's 1533-position model. The record is from RNAcentral.